This 21-nucleotide non-coding RNA is filed under the name Caenorhabditis elegans. The record is from RNAcentral. Lineage: Eukaryota; Metazoa; Nematoda; Chromadorea; Rhabditida; Rhabditidae.
UCAAUCGUAUGGAAACUUCAC